UUAAGCGACUAAGCGUACACGGUGGAUGCCCUGGCAGUCAGAGGCGAUGAAGGACGUGCUAAUCUGCGAAAAGCGCCGGCGAGGUGAUAUGAACCUUUGACCCGGCGAUGUCCGAAUGGGGAAACCCAGUGCAAUCCGUUGCACUAUCGUUAACUGAAUACAUAGGUUAACGAGGCGAACCGGGGGAACUGAAACAUCUAAGUACCCCGAGGAAAAGAAAUCAACCGAGAUUCCCCCAGUAGCGGCGAGCGAACGGGGAGCAGCCCGGAGUCUGAAUCAGCUUGUGUGUUAGUGGAACGGUCUGGAAAGUCCGACGGUACAGGGUGAUAGUCCCGUACACGAAAGCACACUUGCUGUGAACUCGAAGAGUAGGGCGGGACACGUGGUAUCCUGUCUGAAUAUGGGGGGACCAUCCUCCAAGGCUAAAUACUCCUGACUGACCGAUAGUGAACCAGUACCGUGAGGGAAAGGCGAAAAGAACCCCGGCGAGGGGAGUGAAAAAGAACCUGAAACCGUGUACGUACAAGCAGUGGGAGCCUCUUUAUGGGGUGACUGCGUACCUUUUGUAUAAUGGGUCAGCGACUUAUAUUCUGUAGCAAGGUUAACCGUAUAGGGGAGCCGAAGGGAAACCGAGUCUUAACUGGGCGUUAAGUUGCAGGGUAUAGACCCGAAACCCGGUGAUCUAGCCAUGGGCAGGUUGAAGGUUGGGUAACACUAACUGGAGGACCGAACCGACUAAUGUUGAAAAAUUAGCGGAUGACCUGUGGCUGGGGGUGAAAGGCCAAUCAAACCGGGAGAUAGCUGGUUCUCCCCGAAAGCUAUUUAGGUAGCGCCUCGUGAACUCAUCUUCGGGGGUAGAGCACUGUUUCGGCUAGGGGGCCAUCCCGGCUUACCAACCCGAUGCAAACUACGAAUACCGAAGAAUGUUAUCACGGGAGACACACGGCGGGUGCUAACGUCCGUCGUGAAGAGGGAAACAACCCAGACCGCCAGCUAAGGUCCCAAAGUCAUGGUUAAGUGGGAAACGAUGUGGGAAGGCACAGACAGCCAGGAUGUUGGCUUAGAAGCAGCCAUCAUUUAAAGAAAGCGUAAUAGCUCACUGGUCGAGUCGGCCUGCGCGGAAGAUGUAACGGGGCUAAACCAUGCACCGAAGCUGCGGCAGCGACNGAAGGUGUCCUGUGAGGGGUGCUGGAGGUAUCAGAAGUGCGAAUGCUGACAUAAGUAACGAUAAAGCGGGUGAAAAGCCCGCUCGCCGGAAGACCAAGGGUUCCUGUCCAACGUUAAUCGGGGCAGGGUGAGUCGACCCCUAAGGCGAGGCCGAAAGGCGUAGUCGAUGGGAAACAGGUUAAUAUUCCUGUACUUGGUGUUACUGCGAAGGGGGGACGGAGAAGGCUAUGUCAGCCGGGCGACGGUUGUCCCGGUUUAAGCAUGUAGGCGGAGGUUCCAGGUAAAUCCGGUACCUUGUUAACGCUGAGGUGUGAUGACGAGGCACUACGGUGCUGAAGUGAUAAAUGCCCUGCUUCCAGGAAAAGCCUCUAAGCAUCAGGUAACACGAAAUCGUACCCCAAACCGACACAGGUGGUCAGGUAGAGAAUACCAAGGCGCUUGAGAGAACUCGGGUGAAGGAACUAGGCAAAAUGGUGCCGUAACUUCGGGAGAAGGCACGCUGAUGUGUAGGUGAAGCCCCUGCGGGCGGAGCUGAAAUCAGUCGAAGAUACCAGCUGGCUGCAACUGUUUAUUAAAAACACAGCACUGUGCAAACACGAAAGUGGACGUAUACGGUGUGACGCCUGCCCGGUGCCGGAAGGUUAAUUGAUGGGGUUAGCGGCAACGCGAAGCUCUUGAUCGAAGCCCCGGUAAACGGCGGCCGUAACUAUAACGGUCCUAAGGUAGCGAAAUUCCUUGUCGGGUAAGUUCCGACCUGCACGAAUGGCGUAAUGAUGGCCAGGCUGUCUCCACCCGAGACUCAGUGAAAUUGAACUCGCUGUGAAGAUGCAGUGUACCCGCGGCAAGACGGAAAGACCCCGUGAACCUUUACUAUAGCUUGACACUGAACACUGGUCCUUGAUGUGUAGGAUAGGUGGGAGGCUUUGAAGCGUGGACGCCAGUCUGCGUGGAGCCAACCUUGAAAUACCACCCUUUAAUGGCUGGUGUUCUAACGUAGACCCGUAAUCCGGGUUGCGGACAGUGUCUGGUGGGUAGUUUGACUGGGGCGGUCUCCUCCCAAAGAGUAACGGAGGAGCACGAAGGUUGGCUAAUCCUGGUCGGACAUCAGGAGGUUAGUGCAAUGGCAUAAGCCAGCUUGACUGCGAGCGUGACGGCGCGAGCAGGUGCGAAAGCAGGUCAUAGUGAUCCGGUGGUUCUGAAUGGAAGGGCCAUCGCUCAACGGAUAAAAGGUACUCCGGGGAUAACAGGCUGAUACCGCCCAAGAGUUCAUAUCGACGGCGGUGUUUGGCACCUCGAUGUCGGCUCAUCACAUCCUGGGGCUGAAGUAGGUCCCAAGGGUAUGGCUGUUCGCCAUUUAAAGUGGUACGCGAGCUGGGUUUAGAACGUCGUGAGACAGUUCGGUCCCUAUCUGCCGUGGGCGCUGGAGAAUUGAGGGGGGCUGCUCCUAGUACGAGAGGACCGGAGUGGACGCAUCACUGGUGUUCGGGUUGUCAUGCCAAUGGCACUGCCCGGUAGCUAAAUGCGGAA
This 2694-nucleotide ribosomal RNA is filed under the name Enterobacter hormaechei. RNAcentral's name for it is "23S ribosomal RNA". It matches the Rfam family "Bacterial large subunit ribosomal RNA". The record is from RNAcentral. Lineage: Bacteria; Pseudomonadati; Pseudomonadota; Gammaproteobacteria; Enterobacterales; Enterobacteriaceae.